Cyprinus carpio carpio is the source of this 497-nucleotide long non-coding RNA. Lineage: Eukaryota; Metazoa; Chordata; Actinopteri; Cypriniformes; Cyprinidae. The record is from Ensembl.
CUCGCUUUUAUAUAAAUCUAGGGUUUCAUUUUUCUAGAUGCAGAGAGCUUAUUGUAAAUUGUAAAAGAUUGUUCAAUAACUGCUCUCCUACAAAAGAAAGCAUACUUGAAAAGUGGUUUCCGAAUGAAUUGGAGUUUUGUGCUGUCACUUGCUUUCAGCUUCCAAUUGCACUCGUGGGUCUGAAUAAUAUUAGUUCAUCUCCAGAUGUCCUUUUUGAGGUUGUAAUCAGCAUGACUCACUUGGACCACAAACAGAAGAAAGAAAAUCCUUCAGGUUUGGAACAACGCGAUGGUGAGGAAAUCAUGACAGAACUGUCAUUUUUGGAUGUUGCAAAUGGCGGAUAAUCCAGAAUCUUGGGUCUGAUGCAAGCUGGGUUUAUCCAUGGUCAUGAUACCAACAUCUGUCGUGACUUCACAGUAAGCUAGCUGAACACGAGAGAGUGUGUGAAUACUCCUUUAUUGUCGAAGAAGAAAAGCAUUCCUAAACUUCACAUAAGG